RNAcentral lists this ribosomal RNA (498 nucleotides) under uncultured bacterium. Its description in RNAcentral is "partial 16S ribosomal RNA". It matches the Rfam family "Bacterial small subunit ribosomal RNA", at positions 28 to 507 of the family's 1533-position model. The record is from RNAcentral.
GACGAACGCUGGCGGCGUGCCUAAUACAUGCAAGUCGAACGAGAGCGCCCGGUGCUUGCACUGGUCAAUCUAGUGGCGAACGGGUGAGUAACACGUGGGUAACCUGCCCAUCAGAGGGGGAUAACAUCCGGAAACGGAUGCUAAAACCGCAUAGGUCUUCGAACCGCAUGGUUUGAAGAGGAAAAGAGGCGCAAGCUUCUGCUGAUGGAUGGACCCGCGGUGCAUUAGCUAGUUGGUGAGGUAACGGCUCACCAAGGCCGUGAUGCAUAGCCGACCUGAGAGGGUGAUCGGCCACAUUGGGACUGAGACACGGCCCAAACUCCUACGGGAGGCAGCAGUAGGGAAUCUUCCGCAAUGGACGCAAGUCUGACGGAGCAACGCCGCGUGAGUGAAGAAGGUUUUCGGAUCGUAAAACUCUGUUGUUAGAGAAGAACAAGUGCUAGAGUAACUGUUAGCGCCUUGACGGUACCUAACCAGAAAGCCACGGCUAACUACGUG